GAUGAACGCUGGCGGCGUGCCUAAUACAUGCAAGUCGAGCGAACAGAUGAGGAGUUUGCUCCUUUGACGUUAGCGGCGGACGGGUGAGUAACACGUGGAUAACGUACCUAUAAGACUGGGAUAAUUUCGGGAAUCCGGCGCAAAUACCGGAUAAUAUAUUGAACCGCAUGGGUCAAUAGUGAAAGACGGCUUUGCUGGCACUUAUAGCUGGAUCCGCGCGGCAUUGGCUAGUUGGUAAGGUCACGGCUUACCAAGGCAACGAUGCGUAGCCGACCGGUGAGGGUGAUCGGCCACACUAGAGCUGAGACACGGACAAGGCUACUACGAGAGGCAGCAGUAGGGAAUCUUACGCAAUGGGCGAAAGCCUGGCGGAGCAACGGCGCGUGAGUGACGAAGGUCUUCGGAUCGUAAAGCUCUGUUAUUAGGGAAGAACCAAUGUGUAAGUAGCUAUGCACGUCUUGACGGUACCUAAUCAGGAAGCCACGGCUAACUACGUG
RNAcentral lists this ribosomal RNA (497 nucleotides) under uncultured bacterium. RNAcentral describes it as "partial 16S ribosomal RNA". It matches the Rfam family "Bacterial small subunit ribosomal RNA", at positions 28 to 507 of the family's 1533-position model. The record is from RNAcentral.